This 667-nucleotide ribosomal RNA is filed under the name uncultured Bacilli bacterium. RNAcentral's name for it is "bacterial SSU rRNA". It matches the Rfam family "Bacterial small subunit ribosomal RNA", at positions 89 to 740 of the family's 1533-position model. Lineage: Bacteria; Bacillati; Bacillota; Bacilli. The record is from RNAcentral.
AGGUCAGCGGCGGACGGGUGAGUAACACGUGGGUAACCUGCCUGUAAGACUGGGAUAACUCCGGGAAACCGGGGCUAAUACCGGAUGCUUGAUUGAACCGCAUGGUUCAAUCAUAAAAGGUGGCUUUUAGCUACCACUUGCAGAUGGACCCGCGGCGCAUUAGCUAGUUGGUGAGGUAACGGCUCACCAAGGCGACGAUGCGUAGCCGACCUGAGAGGGUGAUCGGCCACACUGGGACUGAGACACGGCCCAGACUCCUACGGGAGGCAGCAGUAGGGAAUCUUCCGCAAUGGACGAAAGUCUGACGGAGCAACGCCGCGUGAGUGAUGAAGGUUUUCGGAUCGUAAAACUCUGUUGUUAGGGAAGAACAAGUACCGUUCGAAUAGGGCGGUACCUUGACGGUACCUAACCAGAAAGCCACGGCUAACUACGUGCCAGCAGCCGCGGUAAUACGUAGGUGGCAAGCGUUGUCCGGAAUUAUUGGGCGUAAAGCGCGCGCAGGCGGUUUCUUAAGUCUGAUGUGAAAGCCCCCGGCUCAACCGGGGAGGGUCAUUGGAAACUGGGGAACUUGAGUGCAGAAGAGGAGAGUGGAAUUCCACGUGUAGCGGUGAAAUGCGUAGAGAUGUGGAGGAACACCAGUGGCGAAGGCGACUCUCUGGUCUGUAAC